RNAcentral lists this non-coding RNA (30 nucleotides) under Cricetulus griseus (Chinese hamster). RNAcentral also lists the same sequence under 1 other name. Lineage: Eukaryota; Metazoa; Chordata; Mammalia; Rodentia; Cricetidae. The record is from RNAcentral.
AGGAGGAUUUAGUAGUAAAUUAAGAAUAGA